This 423-nucleotide ribosomal RNA is filed under the name uncultured bacterium. Its description in RNAcentral is "bacterial SSU rRNA". It matches the Rfam family "Bacterial small subunit ribosomal RNA", at positions 28 to 444 of the family's 1533-position model. The record is from RNAcentral.
GACGAACGCUGGCGGCGCGCCUAACACAUGCAAGUCGAACGGAGCUGAGAGGAGCUUGCUUUUCUUAGCUUAGUGGCGAACGGGUGAGUAACGCGUGAGUAACCUGCCCUGGAGUGGGGGACAACAGUUGGAAACGACUGCUAAUACCGCAUAAGCCCACGGCCCGGCAUCGGGCUGCGGGAAAAGGAUUUAUUCGCUUCAGGAUGGACUCGCGUCCAAUUAGCUAGUUGGUGAGGUAACGGCCCACCAAGGCGACGAUUGGUAGCCGGACUGAGAGGUUGAACGGCCACAUUGGGACUGAGACACGGCCCAGACUCCUACGGGAGGCAGCAGUGGGGGAUAUUGCACAAUGGGGGAAACCCUGAUGCAGCGACGCCGCGUGGAGGAAGAAGGUUUUCGGAUUGUAAACUCCUGUCGUUAGGG